RNAcentral lists this ribosomal RNA (374 nucleotides) under uncultured bacterium. RNAcentral's name for it is "bacterial SSU rRNA". It matches the Rfam family "Bacterial small subunit ribosomal RNA", at positions 29 to 424 of the family's 1533-position model. The record is from RNAcentral.
AACGAACGCUGGCGGCAUGCCUAACACAUGCAAGUCGAACGGGAUCCUAGCUUGCUAGGUGAGAGUGGCGGACGGGUGAGUAACACGUGGGAAUCUGCCUUUUGGUUCGGGAUAACCGCGGGAAACUGCGGCUAAUACCGAAUGCCCUCGAGAGAGGAAAGAUUUAUCGCCAGAAGAGGAGCCCGCGUCCGAUUAGGUAGUUGGUGGGGUAAAGCCUACCAAGCCGACGAUCGGUAGCUGGUCUGAGAGGAUGAUCAGCCACACUGGGACUGAGAUACGGCCCAGACUCCUACGGGAGGCAGCAGUGGGAAUAUUGGACAAUGGGGGCAACCCUGAUCCAGCAAUGCGCGUGAGUGAUGGAAGGCCUUAGGGUU